AUUUUCUCAAUCUUGUGGAAUUCAUUUUAUCUAUUCCACCGCCUCAUUUUAGCUUAUUAAGCUCUUUCAUUUUCUGAAAACAAACACCACCAAAACCCAGCAAAUCAACUUCUUGUUCUGUUGCUUUCGAUUCAAGUGGUGCGGCGCGACUAGGACGUUACUUUUGAUUGAAUUACUCAAAGUUUACCUUCAAGUUCAAAUUCAGGUUUUAAAGGCCGGAGGCGCGUGGAAGGUCGAAUGGCGAAUCAAAUGUUUUGAAUUUAGCAUUACUUAAAAAUGUUAUUUUGAAUAAAGUAUUUUAAAUAAAAUAUUUCUUUUCUUAUUUUCACAUUACAUAUUUAUUUAUAUUCAUAGUUUUUC
Long non-coding RNA from Salvia miltiorrhiza (redroot sage), 360 nucleotides. RefSeq lists it as uncharacterized. The record is from RefSeq and is a predicted model, not a curated record. The transcript has 3 exons. Lineage: Eukaryota; Viridiplantae; Streptophyta; Magnoliopsida; Lamiales; Lamiaceae.